GUCCUGAAGGAACGUUGAAGACGACGACGUUGAUAGGCCGGGUGUGUAAGCGCAGCGAUGCGUUGAGCUAACCGGUACUAAUGAACCGUGAGGCUUAACCUUACAACGCCGAAGGUGUUUUAG
RNAcentral lists this ribosomal RNA (123 nucleotides) under Escherichia coli. Its description in RNAcentral is "partial 23S ribosomal RNA". The stretch from base 1 to 102 matches the Rfam family "Bacterial large subunit ribosomal RNA", at positions 2824 to 2925 of the family's 2925-position model. Lineage: Bacteria; Pseudomonadati; Pseudomonadota; Gammaproteobacteria; Enterobacterales; Enterobacteriaceae. The record is from RNAcentral.